CCUACGGGUGGCAGCAGUGGGGAAUAUUGCACAAUGGGGGAAACCCUGAUGCAGCAACGUCGCGUGGGUGAAGGAGCGUUUCGGCGCGUAAAGCCCUGUCAGCGGGGAAGAAGAAAGACGGUACCCGACCAAGAAGCCCCGGCUAACUACGUGCCAGCAGCCGCGGUAAUACGUAGGGGGCGAGCGUUAUCCGGAUUUAUUGGGUGUAAAGGGUGCGCAGGCGGAAUGUCAAGUCAGCGGUAAAAUUUCGGGGCUCAACCCAGUCGUGCCGUUGAAACUGGCGUUCUUGAGUGAGCGAGAGGUAUGCGGAAUGCGUGGUGUAGCGGUGAAAUGCAUAGAUAUCACGCAGAACUCCGAUUGCGAAGGCAGCAUACCGGCGCUCAACUGACGCUCAUGCACGAAAGCGUGGGUAUCGAACAGGAUUAGAUACCCCUGUAGUC
Molecule: ribosomal RNA, 440 nt
Filed under: uncultured bacterium
Lineage: Bacteria
Description: partial 16S ribosomal RNA
Rfam family: Bacterial small subunit ribosomal RNA
Source: RNAcentral